This 422-nucleotide ribosomal RNA is filed under the name uncultured eukaryote. RNAcentral's name for it is "SSU rRNA". It matches the Rfam family "Eukaryotic small subunit ribosomal RNA", at positions 592 to 1018 of the family's 1831-position model. The record is from RNAcentral.
CAAUAGCGUAUAUUAAAGUUGUUGCGGUUAAAAAGCUCGUAGUUGGAUUUCUGCCGAGGACGACCGGUCCGCCCUCUGGGUGAGCAUCUGGGACGGCCUGGGCAUCCUCUUGGGGAACGUAGCUGCACUUGACUGUGUGGUGCGGUAUCCAGGACUUUUACUUUGAGGAAAUUAGAGUGUUUCAAGCAGGCGCACGCCUUGAAUACAUUAGCAUGGAAUAAUAAGAUAGGACCUUGGUUCUAUUUUGUUGGUUUCUAGAGCUGAGGUAAUGAUUAAUAGGGAUAGUUGGGGGCAUUCGUAUUUAACUGUCAGAGGUGGAAUUCUUGGAUUGUGUUACGACGAACUACUGCGAAAGCAUUUGCCAAGGAUGUUUUCAUUGAUCAAGAACGAAAGUAAGGGGAUCGAAGAUGAUUAGAUACCGU